UUGCUGAAUUCAUAGGCAAUGAAGAGGCAUACCAGGGGAACUGAAACAUCUAAGUACCCUGAGGAAGAGAAAACAAAAGUGAUUCCGUCAGUAGCGGCGAGCGAACGCGGAUUAGCCUAAACCAAGGAGCUUGCUCCUUGGGGUUGUGGGACGUCUCACAUGGAGUUACAAAGGUUCAGAUUAGACGAAGAGGUCUGGAAAGGCCCGCCAAAGAAGGUAAAAGCCCUGUAAUCGAAAAUGUGAACCCUCCGAGACGGAUCCCGAGUAGUGCGGGGCACGUGAAACCCCGUAUGAAUCUGCCAGGACCAUCUGGUAAGGCUAAAUACUCCCUAGCGACCGAUAGUGAAGCAGUACCGUGAGGGAAAGGUGAAAAGCACCCCGGAAGGGGAGUGAAAGAGAACCUGAAACCGUGUGCUUACAAGAAGUCAGAGCCCUGUUUAUGGGUGAUGGCGUGCCUUUUGUAGAAUGAACCGGCGAGUUACGUUUGCAAGCGAGGUUAAGGUGAGAAGCCGGAGCCGCAGCGAAAGCGAGUCUGAAUAGGGCGAAUAAGUUUGUAGGCGUAGACCCGAAACCGUGUGAUCUACCCCUGUCCAGGGUGAAGGUGCGGUAACACGCACUGGAGGCCCGAACCCACGUACGUUGAAAAGUGCGGGGAUGAGGUGGGGGUAGCGGAGAAAUUCCAAUCGAACUC
Molecule: ribosomal RNA, 691 nt
Filed under: Salmonella enterica subsp. enterica serovar Paratyphi A
Lineage: Bacteria; Pseudomonadati; Pseudomonadota; Gammaproteobacteria; Enterobacterales; Enterobacteriaceae
Description: partial 23S ribosomal RNA
Rfam family: Bacterial large subunit ribosomal RNA
Source: RNAcentral